Molecule: non-coding RNA, 2231 nt
Organism: Arachis ipaensis
Lineage: Eukaryota; Viridiplantae; Streptophyta; Magnoliopsida; Fabales; Fabaceae
Source: RefSeq, a predicted model, not a curated record
AUCAAAUAACUUAGAAAAAAAAAAAAGAAAGACCUUUGGUUUUCCUUAAAUCAUUUCUAGUGAGUGCUUCAGUAAGUUCAUCACUAUGCCCAGCACCCACCAUAAGCACUAACUUUCCUAAUCAACAUAAAAGGGGACACAACCGGCAGCAGGAGGUCCCGGCGUUCAACUUCUGGUCUCGUUCGCGGUGCUGUCGGCGACGGGGCGGUGUUCCCUUUCAAAGGCGUUGGCGCGAUGCUCUCCUUCGUGGUCAUCAUCUCCACGGACGCUGCUCCACGGCUUCUCCUCCCCUGUCUCGGCCCCAAGUACGCGGUCACCUUCGAGAAACCCUUCUCGUUCUUCCUCUUCUUCCUCUGUCUCACCUCCUCCUCUUCGCAACUUCACUCUCUCCGAUCAACGCUUCUGCCGUCGUAGCUCACCAAGUAAUUAGUUUUCUUCUUGUGCUCUUUGUUUUACCUAUUUAAUUUUCUCUUCCAUUUAAUUCAAUCCUUCAAUCUAUUCCAACUAGUGUCUCUGUAGUGGUGCCCAUUGGAAAAAAAAACUGAUAUGAAUUAGAUCUUUGUACUUGCAAAUUAGGAGAAGCUGUAUUUGAUGAUAGAUAUGAUGCAGAAGAAUGGUUAUUUUAAUUAAUAGAUAGAAAAUUGUAGAAGCUUGGUUCCCAUGGAUUCAAAGGGUUUUGUAGGCAAAAUAUUAUUAUUGGUGUUAUCUGAUGAUCACUACUAAUUUCAUUUGAUUAUUGCUAUCUUUAUAUGUUGUUAAUUCUUGUUUCUUUUUAAUUACAUGUCACAAAAAAAUAUCAGUUAUUAAUUAUUAGAGUGAAAUUCGAGUUCUAAUUUAAUUCUUUGUUGUGGACUAUUGAUGAUAAUUAUUCUUAGAAGUUAUUCUUUUUUAAUUUGUAGCUAUGCAGGGUUUGUUUAUUUUGAUGUUUAUAUAGAGACUAUAUUAAUUGGAAGCAAUUAAGAUGCAUGCUAGUUAAGUUCUAAUUAUUCUUGAUAUGAAAACUCAGAUGAAUGACAGCGCAUAAUGGUAACUGAUAACAUCAGACAUGUAUUUAGUUGGUUUUAGGUUUGAAUUGGUUUUGUUUUGCCCAGUAUGUGAGAAAUGGAUCAGUAACUGUUGAUGAAUGGUGAGUAACAGACAUUAACUUUAUAGAAUAAUGAUUUAAGUUGAAUUGUUUGUCCUUUAAUGCAAAUGGUUGUACUAUAGUUGUGUUGGUUUACUAUUAUUAUUAUAGCAAUAAAUAUGAACACACAUGAAUCUUUCCAAAGAUUUGUGACCACUUGAUGAUAGUGACAGAGUACAUGCACCAGCAAAUAGGACAAACAUGCCUUCCUAUGCAAAAACUAAACAGAACCAUAAGUGCAUUACAAGUCUAAUCUAAUGUCUUGGUGUUGUGUGUGUAUGUGUUUUGUAUAGAUAAUAUACUUUUUAUAAUGUUAUCCAAUUCCAAAUCCACUAAUUUGAUUUACAUAUAUCUUCAUGACUUUAUGCAUUUAUUCGUGUAAUUGCUUUUUCUAUCGCUCUUUACCAAUUGCUCCACUAAUUCUGAUUCAUGUAAUUGCUUUUUCUAUGACAAAAACUGAAAAGUGCUAAUGACCUACUAUUAUUUUGGUUGAUGGAUACUUCUCCUACUAAUGCAUUUCAAAAAGUUUUUGGUAAAGAAAAUCCAGGAAGAGUUCGAUGUUUUGGAAGAACUGUUACAAAAGCUUCUCUUAAGAAAAAUAAAGAAAUAGAUGAAAUAAAAAAACAAAGUGAAGAGAAGGUAACAGCUUUAAAAACUGAAUUAGAUGACCAUAAGCAACGACUGCAAGGAUUAGAAGAUAUUGUGAAACUUAUGCUGCAACAAACUUCUCCUGGUAUGAAUGUUGAUGAAGCGCUUUCUCUCUUGCGAUCUAAGCAAUCGUCUGCAAAUAGUGCACAAGAUCCAAAUUUAGUUCCUCGACAUUCUCCUCCAUCGACUCAUAUACCAAAUCAUGAUUAGCUUUCUUAUUGUUGGAUGAAGUUUUCUGAAGACAUAAAGGCAAUUCUUGGCGCAAUGGUGAAGCACCAAGUCUUUUUGGUUUCAAGUCAAAAACUUAGUUUCUUUUUGGUUUAAGUUCAUCAUCAGAAAAACAUGUAUUUUGCUUACUUAUGUUUAUUAUUUAUUUGACUUAGUAAUUUGGCAAGUAUGUUAAUUGGCACUUGGUAGACCUUUCUAUAUAUAUGCAAUAUAUAUUAUUAGCUUAUUCAAA